GUGGGUAUAGCUCAGUGGUAGAGCAUAUGCUUAGCAUGCACGAGGUCCUGGGUUCAAUCCCCAGUACCUCCA
Molecule: transfer RNA, 72 nt
Filed under: Camelus bactrianus (Bactrian camel)
Lineage: Eukaryota; Metazoa; Chordata; Mammalia; Artiodactyla; Camelidae
Also listed under: 2 other names
Rfam family: tRNA
About the family: Transfer RNA (tRNA) molecules are approximately 80 nucleotides in length. Their secondary structure includes four short double-helical elements and three loops (D, anti-codon, and T loops). Further hydrogen bonds mediate the characteristic L-shaped molecular structure. tRNAs have two regions of fundamental functional importance: the anti-codon, which is responsible for specific mRNA codon recognition, and the 3' end, to which the tRNAs corresponding amino acid is attached (by aminoacyl-tRNA synthetases). tRNAs cope with the degeneracy of the genetic code in two manners: having more than one tRNA (with a specific anti-codon) for a particular amino acid; and 'wobble' base-pairing, i.e. permitting non-standard base-pairing at the 3rd anti-codon position.
Source: Rfam by way of RNAcentral